UCCGGUUUGUCACCGGCAGUCUCCAUAGAGUGCCCAACUAAAUGCUGGCAACUAGGGAUAAGGGUUGCGCUCGUUGCGGGACUUAACCCAACAUCUCACGACACGAGCUGACGACAACCAUGCACCACCUGUCACCCGGCCACAAGGGGGGCACCAUCUCUGAUGCUUUCCGGGCGAUGUCAAGCCUUGGUAAGGUUCUUCGCGUUGCGUCGAAUUAAGCCACAUGCUCCGCUGCUUGUGCGGGCCCCCGUCAAUUCCUUUGAGUUUUAGCCUUGCGGCCGUACUCCCCAGGCGGGGCACUUAAUGCGUUAGCUGCGGCACGGACAACGUGGAAUGUUGCCCACACCUAGUACCCACCGUUUACGGCGUGGACUAC
RNAcentral lists this unclassified non-coding RNA (376 nucleotides) under uncultured Actinomycetes bacterium. RNAcentral describes it as "uncultured actinobacterium contains 16S-23S intergenic spacer region". The record is from RNAcentral. Lineage: Bacteria; Bacillati; Actinomycetota; Actinomycetes.